RNAcentral lists this ribosomal RNA (460 nucleotides) under uncultured bacterium. RNAcentral's name for it is "partial 16S ribosomal RNA". It matches the Rfam family "Bacterial small subunit ribosomal RNA", at positions 338 to 795 of the family's 1533-position model. The record is from RNAcentral.
CCUACGGGUGGCAGCAGUGAGGAAUAUUGGUCAAUGGGCGUAAGCCUGAACCAGCCAAGUCGCGUGAGGGAUGAAGGUUCUAUGGAUCGUAAACCUCUUUUAUAAGGGAAUACAGUGUGGUACGUGUCCUGUUUUGUAUGUACCUUAUGAAUAAGGAUCGGCUAACUCCGUGCCAGCAGCCGCGGUAAUGAGGAGGAUACGCGCGUUAUCCGGAUUUAUUGGUUUUAAAGGGUGCGUAGGCGGCCUUUUAAGUCAGCGGUGAAAGUCUGUGGUUCAACCAUAGAAUUGCCGUUGAAACUGGGAGGAUUGAGUAUGUUUGAGGCAGGGGGAAUGCGUGGUGUAGCGGUGAAAUGCUUAGAUAGCACGCAGAACCCCGAGUGCGAAGGCAGCCUGCCAAGCCAUGACUGACGCUGAUGCACGAAAGCGUGGGGAUCAAACAGGAUUAGAUACCCCAGUAGUC